GUGUCAGCCGCCGCGGUAAUACGUAGGCAGCAAGCGUUGUUCGGAGUUACUGGGCGUAAAGGGUGUGUAGGUGGCGCGCUAAGUUCCGUGUGAAAUCUCCCGGCUCAACCGGGAGGGUGCGCGGAAAACUGGCGGGCUAGAGUACGGGAUGGGAGAGUAGAAUUCCUGGUGUAGCGGUGAAAUGCGUAGAUAUCAGGAGGAAUACCGGUGGUGUAGACGGCUCUCUGGACCGUAACUGACACUGAGACACGAAAGCGUGGGUAGCAAACAGGAUUAGAUACCCUGGUAGUCC
RNAcentral lists this ribosomal RNA (292 nucleotides) under uncultured bacterium. RNAcentral's name for it is "partial 16S ribosomal RNA". It matches the Rfam family "Bacterial small subunit ribosomal RNA", at positions 505 to 796 of the family's 1533-position model. The record is from RNAcentral.